This 73-nucleotide transfer RNA is filed under the name Paramuricea clavata. It matches the Rfam family "tRNA". From Rfam's summary of the family: Transfer RNA (tRNA) molecules are approximately 80 nucleotides in length. Their secondary structure includes four short double-helical elements and three loops (D, anti-codon, and T loops). Lineage: Eukaryota; Metazoa; Cnidaria; Anthozoa; Malacalcyonacea; Plexauridae. The record is from Rfam by way of RNAcentral.
GACCGCGUAGCUCAGUUGGCAGAGCAUUGGGCUAGUAUUCCAAAGGUCGUAGGUUCAAUUCCCACCGUGGCCG